AGCUUUGCGCAGUGGCAGUAUCAUAGCCAAUGAGGUUUAUCCGAGGCGUGAUUAUUGCUAACUGAAAAUUUUCCAAAUACCCUGCCAUGAAUGACUUGAAAUAUAGUUGGCAUUGGCAAUUUUUGACAGUCUCUACGGAGU
Molecule: small nuclear RNA, 141 nt
Organism: Callithrix jacchus (white-tufted-ear marmoset)
Lineage: Eukaryota; Metazoa; Chordata; Mammalia; Primates; Cebidae
Gene: U4
Rfam family: U4 spliceosomal RNA
About the family: U4 small nuclear RNA (U4 snRNA) is a component of the major U2-dependent spliceosome. The structure of U4 snRNA from yeast and human has been reported.
Source: Ensembl